This 972-nucleotide long non-coding RNA is filed under the name Homo sapiens (human). RNAcentral's name for it is "HSALNT0140386". The record is from RNAcentral. Lineage: Eukaryota; Metazoa; Chordata; Mammalia; Primates; Hominidae.
CACAAGACAAAAUAGUAUUUGACACGGCAAAUUAUUAUGCAAACUGUUAGAAAAAAAACUCAAGACAAAUUAAAAUUAACAGAGUUUAACUGAGCAAAAAACUAUUAACAAAUCAGGCAGCCCACAGAACCAAAAUAGGUUCAGAGCAGCUCUGGGACUACCACAUGGUCCAAUGACAGUUAUAGACAGAAGAAGGAAAGUGAAGUACAGAAAACAAAAGUGAGGUAUACAGCUUAGUGCUUGCCUUAUGUGAACACAGUUGGAACAGUUGGCUGCCUGUGAUUGGCUGAGACUCUACUACUUGUUACAAGAUCAGGUAAUAGUCUGUUUACACAUCCAGUUAGGUCACAGUUCACUAUGUGUGGAGAAACAUUUAGGCCAAAUUUAAAAUAUGUAAGGAGACAGCUUUAAGCUAAACUUAACAAGACAACGAAAAAUAGACUCUAAAAUUUCUGUGAGUCACUGCAAUUGCCAAUUCUUCCAGAAGGAAUUCCACCCAAGCUGAUUCAUUUAAAACACAGAUAACUCGUCAGAAGAUAGGUGUUACAAAGACUUUCAAGCCCAAGGAACUGCUGAAGAGACUGCAUCGAAGAUCCAGCAUCCAUAGUGUACUUCAUGGAAUCCAGACUGCGCCAACUGACAGCAAUAGAGAGGCCUCAGGAGAAGCUAAGGAUUUGCUAACUGUGAAGAAAAAGAUUAUGUGUUUCACAACACUGCAAGCCUCGAAACCACAGAAGCAGUGAGCAAGCUAACAUUUAUUCUAAAGAUAAACAUGAAAUCCAGUUUAUACCUCCAGGUCAACACUCUCAUCUGAUCUCAGAAGAAUUCAUCAUUUUUUGAGGACCUACUUUGUGCUAGGAACUUUAUGUAAAUGUGUUCUUUUAGUCUUUAUCACUCUGUAAUAUGUUAGUGUACUCAUUUAUCGGUGUAAUUCUAUGUAUAUAACUCAAUAAACUGAUAAUACAAAAAGAA